AUCGUAGCUCUGACGACGACCAUCUUUCAGAAAUUGUCCGUCCGUCGUCCAGAGCUACGUUAUCGCAGCUAAACUCCGUAGUGUUCCAGUGUUGUUGCUGGGAAAAGUUUAACCGUUUGACCUUUGACCUGCGGCAAAUGACCUGGAUCAAAGAGGGCGGAGGGGAAGUAUGCAAAACGUCUAUUGGUUAUGUACACUGAUUCGUCAGCCAAUCAGAAACGUUUUGUCUGUUGAGUGUCCCCAGGCUGUGUGGAGCAACAUCAACAUCAACAUGGGUUUUGCGUACUCUGUGUUACCAGUCGAGGGAAACCCCAAACACAGUAACAUCCGACGAUGUAUUCAUCAUGUCAUUAGUACUAACCAGAGAAGUAUAUCAUAUAUCUUGUCUAACUUAACUAGGGGCACAGUUUGGAUUUGGAGUAGAUCUAGGCACUAAGCUUAGGCAUAUUUGUUAACGUCUGCUCCAACAUUCGUCGGAGACUCAGACUGCCCUGGACACUCAACAACAUCGGCACCUGGCUUUGCUGGACAUGGAACAACGCCGUUUGCUGGAGAUAUUUCUUUGGUAAACUGGAGGUGUACGAGGAGGAUGGGACGAGUAUCAUCAUCAGACAUUCCUGAAGUUUAUAGACAAAGGUACAAGGGCCGACCAGUCUUCCUAAAGCAAGUCUCAUAGCUGUACCUGAACCCACACGUAGGAAGAGAUCACGAAUCAUGACGAAAUGGUACCAAACUUAUCUAGACGUAAACGAGAGUAAGAAAGUAAGAAUACGCAAAUGGAAGGAACAAGAGCAGCUCCUAUAUAAGUACAGGGCCACUGGUCGCAGAGGUCAGAGGCCGCUGAGAUAUGGAGGAACAAGGUUAUCAGAAAGAAUUGAGGAAAGGGGAGGAGGAUUCUGAGAAGAAAGCUGCUGGUUAACCACACAGUCACACAAAGUAUAAACAAUAGCCUGCUAACUGUAUGAUAACUACACCAUAGCAUACAGAUACUUGUCAUUAAUUUGCGCAAAGGCAAGAAAAUCAGGGUCUCAGAUCUCUGGGCUUUUAACUGUACAAUAAAAAUCCUCUCAUCUGUCUGUACAGAUUUUGACGUUAACAUUAUUGCUUCAAGGUCACCAGAUCCAUAGGUCAAGUGUUCAAAGAUCAAGGUUCUGGUGCCCAGAGAAUUCGGCUGUAUUUCUGUCAGGUGUGGUAACUAAUGAGUUUACCGAGGAGCAACACCCCUAUAACUUGAACAGAUGAGCUAGUCUUCACUGGUGAGAAUUAUCAGCUACCAUGGAUAUACUGGACCUGUUUGUGUCACCCUUGGAGCGGGAGUACUUGGACGAAGACAUCCGUCCUGACAGACCGAGGACAUGAGGUGUCCAGCGUUGACAUGUACUAGACCUGAUUGUGUCACCCUUGGAGCUGGAGUACUUGGACGAAGACAUCCGUCCUGACUGGAUCAAGGGUAUGAGAUGUCCAGUGUUGGCAUGUACUGGAUCUGAUUGUGCCACCCCAGAAGUACAUUUGACAUCCAUCACUUACUUCUCUGGGCAAUGUGUUUUCCGCUCGAACUGCCGAAAUCAACUUACCCUUGGUAAGUGUCAUCACAUUCAGAGGCACCAUCUAUCUGCAGAGGAAGGGAGUUUCCAUAGUGUACGGUACAACACAAAAUUCAUAGACCCAAGGGGUAAACUUAUGCCCAUAUUAAGGGUUUCAGUAUGGCCGUACUUAGGGAGGAGGCCAGUGUCUGUCGUCGAGUGGAAUCAACUAUGGGUGUACUCACCUCGCGGACAUUACUGUGGGACUGCGGAAAACCUAUCAGCUGAUGGAGUUUGAUUUGUGUUAAUGUAUUUAUUCUGUUUGUUGUGAAACUGAUUCAUGAACUUGUUUGUUUAGUAUAAUGAUUUCAGUCCUUACUAAAUGUAUAUUUAUCUGAAUGAAUUCAUGAAUAUAAUUCUGGUGAUUAAUUUGAUCAAUAUUAUUAUACAGUAUGCAUUAAUUUUUUUUAUCAUCAUCUGUAUUUUUGGCACAUUAUUGGAUUGUGAAGCAAGUACCAACUGAGAAUUUUUGUGUUCAUUUUACUUUUAAGAUUAUAUUGUAUCUUUUAAAGAGUUACCAAACUGUUGCAGUUUAGUGAUUGCUCUAAUUUGCCAGAGUUUUUCCUAUAUAAAAGUUGUUUGGAUUUAUCUUCAAACAAUGAAAAAUUGUUUUGUUAUGGGAACCAUAUAAUGUGUUGAAAAUGUUUGGUGUUUAUAUUUGGAUACAACUGUAUGAUUAGAAUUUUGACGGUUGGAAUCAAAUGAAUUGUAUAUACAUGUAUA
This is a long non-coding RNA of Pecten maximus, 2306 nucleotides long. RefSeq lists it as uncharacterized. Lineage: Eukaryota; Metazoa; Mollusca; Bivalvia; Pectinida; Pectinidae. The transcript is spliced from 8 exons. The record is from RefSeq and is a predicted model, not a curated record.